ACUUACGGCCAUACCAGCCUAUCUGCGCCCGAUCUCGUCUGAUCUCGGAAGCUAAGCAGGGUCGGGCCUUUUUAGUACUUGGAUGGGAGACCGCCUGGGAAUACCAGGUGCUGUAAGCU
Molecule: ribosomal RNA, 119 nt
Filed under: Sinocyclocheilus rhinocerous
Lineage: Eukaryota; Metazoa; Chordata; Actinopteri; Cypriniformes; Cyprinidae
Source: RNAcentral